This 681-nucleotide ribosomal RNA is filed under the name uncultured Lachnospiraceae bacterium. Its description in RNAcentral is "bacterial SSU rRNA". It matches the Rfam family "Bacterial small subunit ribosomal RNA", at positions 63 to 743 of the family's 1533-position model. Lineage: Bacteria; Bacillati; Bacillota; Clostridia; Lachnospirales; Lachnospiraceae. The record is from RNAcentral.
CGAACGAAGCGCUUAAACAGAUUUCUUCGGGUUGAAGUUUUUGCGACUGAGUGGCGGACGGGUGAGUAACGCGUGGGUAACCUGCCUCAUACAGGGGGAUAACAGUUAGAAAUGACUGCUAAUACCGCAUAAGCGCACGGUGCUGCAUGGCACAGUGUGAAAAACUCCGGUGGUAUGAGAUGGACCCGCGUCUGAUUAGCUAGUUGGUGGGGUAACGGCCUACCAAGGCGACGAUCAGUAGCCGGCCUGAGAGGGUGAACGGCCACAUUGGGACUGAGACACGGCCCAAACUCCUACGGGAGGCAGCAGUGGGGAAUAUUGCACAAUGGGGGAAACCCUGAUGCAGCGACGCCGCGUGAGCGAAGAAGUAUUUCGGUAUGUAAAGCUCUAUCAGCAGGGAAGAAAUAGGACGGUACCUGACUAAGAAGCACCGGCUAAAUACGUGCCAGCAGCCGCGGUAAUACGUAUGGUGCAAGCGUUAUCCGGAUUUACUGGGUGUAAAGGGAGCGUAGACGGUUGUGUAAGUCUGAUGUGAAAGCCCGGGGCUCAACCCCGGGACUGCAUUGGAAACUAUGUAACUAGAGUGUCGGAGAGGUAAGCGGAAUUCCUAGUGUAGCGGUGAAAUGCGCAGAUAUUAGGAGGAACACCAGUGGCGAAGGCGGCUUACUGGACGAUCACUGA